UCAGCCAACUUCCUUCCAAACCUCUUGAAAGCUUCUAAUGGCUGUGAAUCUGAAGUCCAAACCUCGCCUUCAUUUCUCUGUCCAAGGUAUUGCUCAUCAGAAGCAUGCCUUGAUAAGACCUCUAAGAUCGUAAGGUCAGUGAGGGUAUCAUUUUUUGGUGUGAUUGUCCUUAGAUACACCUUUUGAAAGUUCUUAGAAAGCUCGGCAUACUCAGCAGACCCUUUCUCAGGCAUGUGUCUCCGGCUUUUAGUUGGUCGGUUAAGUAUAUAUCCUCCAUAUGGAUAUUGACCAAAAUUAACAGCUGCAUGAUGUGCUGAAGCAAUCCAUAUGAGGAUAGUGCAAGCUUCAAUCAACUCUGUACAAGUUUGCAUCUUAAACCACCAUGUAGCAUUCUUCAAAUCACCAUGACCCACCUCUACAACUUCUCUCCAAAAUGCUUGCAGUUCAGAAUCUUGCGCAACAGCAGCAUCUGACGUGUAGUAGAAACUCACAUAUUCUUCAACCCAUGACUUGAUAGCAUCCCAUAUCUCUAGUCCAUCAGCAGCAUAAGGGUAGUCCUCUAUCAGAAGGCGAAUUCCAUGUGGGGAAGUUGGAUCCUCAACAGCCACUCCUCUAGAUAACAAGCAAGGAAGAUAUCAUUAAUAUAAAAAAUUAAAAAGCUUGAGAUCAGUAUCUAUUUAACCAAGAUUUUAAAUUGGUUGUAGUAUGAUCUUAGUUAUUCUAGCGAAACGCGGUAAAAUACAGUUGAUGUGGCCUCAACCAACGGUGUUUGGACAUAAAAAAACCUUGAUUUCUCGUCUUACAUUGUGGUUACUAACAUUUUUUCCAAUCCUUUUUUUUUACUAAUUAAUUUAUGUGCAGGAUCUAAUAUUUUGUAAGGUUACCUUUUCAGUAAAUCAUUAGGAAGACCGUGCUCUAUGAAAACCCAAUCCUUAUAUAAUAGAGCAGACAAUUCUAAAGAAUAACGUCCCAUCAAGAAUGUCGAUUCUAUAAUACCCUCUGCAUUAACCAAGACAUUCCUUGCAAGUGCAUUAAUGUUCAUUGUGUCACGAUAAUGUGGAAGUAGAAGUUUGUGAAUAGGGUGAACCACACUAAGAUGCCUAUUUGUUGCUAUGAUGAAUGGCUCAACAACAGCAUGAGUGUUCAACCUGUUACACAUGUAGAUAUUAAUGAAUUACUCAUAGAUUGAUGAAAUUAAAUACGUUUGAUUCUAGAAAAACUCAUCAACAUAAUUCGUACCAGUGGCUGACAAGUUGAUGAAAACAGGAGUCAUUUACAACAACGUAAGCUUUGGCAAGUAGCCAAAUAGAAGCUUCAACACCUUCACUUGCAGGCAAGUAAACAUUACUAACAGGACCAUAACUAUCUUCUUGAGGAUGUGGCUUACUUAGCUCAAUGGCCAAUGGCUUCAAAGUUCCAUCAUUUUGUAAGAAAAUGAAGGUUCUCGUAGCAUAUGCCUUUGUAUCAGUUGAGUUUAUUUUCCUCAAAUAUGGAAAUAUUGGGUCAUGGUGAUCAAGUAUGUAAAGCCUGUUGUUUUGGAUAGCCUAUUCAAAAAAAUAUAAUUUAGUCAUUGUAAUUAUUUGAAUCAUAAAUAACCACAAAAUAACAUUGGCAAAGAUGUAUAUUCAUGGUAUUAAUGUUAAACUAUGUCAUUACUUCUUCUACAGUGACCCCAUCCAUGUUUAGCUGUAACUGUUCUUCGGUUAUUGUGCUCGUAUUAUCACCGUAGAGUUGGGUAUCUAGCUUGCUCUUUGGUGGGAACUCCUACAAUAAAUAUAGAAAGUAAUAAUGAAGUUAACAAUUAAAAAUAGGAAAAUGUUAUUUCUAGCGAAGGAAAUAUGGCUGCUCCUAAUUCUUGAAGAUUUCGUGAUGCUAUCUUUCGGGAAAUAUGGUCAAAAUAAAAAUUAAAUUUUCUGUUCGCAAAGAAAUCGUUAAACUAUCAAGUUUACCUGAAGUCUUUUGAUUAUGUGUGGAUUCACACCAGCAAUCAUCUCCCUUGCAAAUUCUCCAUCAGUCAUCCAUGCAGACUGAUUAACUGCUCAAAAUAAGAGCAUUUCAAAUGAUCCGUGAUAUUUUUAUUUAUUCUAUGAAAAUAUAUUGCUAGGACUGAACAUGUGUUUCUAAUAGAUACCUUCAACCACUUUAGGUCGUGGAAACUUUAGGGCCGAUUCACCAUCAGUUCUGAGGAGUUCCUGGAACACUGGUAUGGGGCUAAUUUUGCUAAGUGCAUUAGUAGGUAAUUCAAUUCCACCAUGAUAUAAUGAACGGACAUCUUCAAAAGUGUUAAACUCUGGCUGAUUGAAUUGUAAUGUAAGUGCAGAUCGUAAUUGAGGUAUAACAUUUUGAGAUGCUGAUUUCAGUAUAUAAACAAGAAAGUCUGAAGACUUCAAGUGGCCAAAUGAUUCAUCUCUUGGAAUGUAAACAAAGUCGCUCCGACUCUCACUUUUAUCAUCUGUAACAUACAAAUAGAAGACAUUAGCAACAAGAUCAAUAUCUUUAAAAUCAUAUAGAGGAAAUGUUUUGAUCAUAGGACCUUUAACUUAAGAUAGAGCAUAAAGUUUAUCACCUUUUUUAGCAUGUUUCCUGCCGGUUCUCCCCCUUCGAGGGUAAGGCAAGUUAUUGGAUCCUCCAACAACGGGACGAGCCAAGCUUUCUUUCUUGUCAGGAUCACCCAAGUCAUUGUAAACAUCGUAGUCAUAGAUCCUAUCCGAUUCUUUGCGCUCACCCGUUCCAUCUCCUCUUAAAGUCUUCAAUUCUUCUUGUCUGUAGUAGACUAAUGGAGCUGGUGUUUCGCUUGGAAGGUACGUCUAUAUUUAUAUUUAUUUAUCGGUGUCAAAUUUUGAGAAAUAUAAUUUGUAUUAGCAUGUUAAAGAAAUAUGAUUUUUUUUCAUUACCUUGUUCGUAAAGAAGAUGCGUUUCGUUUUAUACUUUUUAGCAUUGUAAAUCCAUGAGUUGCAAACAAAGUUGAUGGUUCCAUGGAUGGGAAUAUCUUCAAGCGUCAAACUUACAAGGAAGAAUUCUCCUAGCAUGAAAUUUUCAAUAUAAAAUGCUCCUGGAAUUCCCAUCUCACUGUCCCAUUCAAAAUGAACAUCAAAUGCAGAUUGCCCUGCUCCCAAAAUUGGUAUGGAGGUAACAAGACCUUCUAAAUAUGUUUUUUUUCCCACUUUACCUUUUCCACUUCCUACAAAUAUGUCAUAAUGCUUAAUUUAUGUCAAUAUAAACAACUUAAUCUUUUCUUAUGCUAAGUGCUAAAUUUAUGUUCACCCAAGUUGCUUAGAUUAUAUCAAAGUGAAAUAAUUCCUAAUUUCCUACAUAUAUUUUAGUAAUAGUUGAUUUAUUAUUUAAAAUAAGUUACGUCAAAGUGAUAAUCACAAAAAUAAAAAUAAAAAUUUAUAAUAAAACAAAAGGGAAAAUAAAUUGAAUCUUAAUGGACUCAGGAUCAAAUUCUUGUAAAAAUUAAAAUAUAAAGACAAUUUUCAUUUGGAUCCUUUGUAAAGCCAUUCAUUUAAAAACGAUAAACUUUGAAACUUAUAUCACCUGCAGAUUUAAAAAAUGGUGAGGCCUAGGUUGCCUUUGAAAACUCAUGGGCAAUUUACCUAAACCAAUCAAAAGUUUUCAUGUGUACUCCAUUAGAAUAAUAACAUUUAUUAUUUUAUUUUGCAAAAAUUUAGCAAGUAUUUUAUUAUUUGCAUAUUCACCCCAUCUUAAAUUAAUGAUUUUUUACAAUUUAAACCAUCACAAUAAUUAAAUUUCACCUCUAAUUCAAUCACUCUCCAAACCUCUUUUUUAGCUUGGCAAAAAUCAUUAAAAAUUAAAAUUAUCACCCCUGAGAAUCAAACCUGGAUGCUCCCACCUAUUUAAAAUGUACUCUGGAACCACUUGAUCAAUACAUUUUUUAUGAAAUAAUUUGGAAUUCAAAAUUAUGUUAUUAGUGAGCAAAUUAUUUUAUUUUUAUUUGCAGUGCCUUUAUAACCUAGCUUUAGUGAGAAAAAAAAAUCAUUUUAUGUGUGUAUAAUUAUGAAGUAGUAAAUUUUUCUUAAGAAAAAUGAAUUCAUUCAAUUGAUUUUUUAUAUUUUAAAUUUCAUUCUUUUUUAUAAAUUCAUACUUUUAUAUAGAUUCGAUGACCUACGACAAUGUUUCAUUUGUGAUCCACCGAAUUAUGAUUUAUUUUAGGUACUAUUUUUCAUUUGGAUCAGAUAAAUUGUUUAAAGGUAAUAAUUUUUUUUUUUGCAAGGUCUUAUAAGUUAUAACCUAGCUUUAGUAAAAAAAAUCAUUUUAUAUGUGUAUAUUUAUGAAAUAGUAAAUCUUUCUUAAAAAAAAUAAUUCAUUCAAUUGAUUUUUUAUAUUUUAAAUAUCAUUCUUUUAUAUAAAUUUAUAAUUUUAUAUAGAUUCGAUGAACUACAACAUUGUUUCAUUUGUGAUCAAACGAAUUAUGAUUUAUUUUAGGUACUAUCUUUCAUUUUGAUCAGAUAAAUUGUUCAAAGGUAUUAUUAUUAUUAUUUUUUUUGCAGUGUCUUAUAAGUUAUAACCCAGCUUUAGUAUAAAAAAAAUAAAUCAUUUUAUAUGUGUAUAUUUAUGAAAUAGUAAAUAUUUCUUAAAAAAAAAAAAAUGAAUUCAUUCAAUUGAUUUUUUUUAUAUUUUAAAUAUCAUCCUUUUAUAUAAAUUCAUACUUUUAUAUAGAUUCGAUGACUGAUGGGAUAAAACCGCAAGUGCACGAUUCUACCAGAAUUCAGGGCAUUACAAACGCAACAUGUGGCAUAAAAACAUUACUUUAUAUGUAUAUACUAUUGAUUUUCCUGUUCAUUUAAAAUAUUUUAUUUGCUUAAUUGCACUUUUGGACCCCUAUCUUUUCAAAAGUUGCGGUUAUGGAUCCCUAACUAAUUUAAAUACAAAACAGUCCCCUAUGUUUUGAUUCUUUAGCAGUUUUGGACCCCCAAGGCAAAAAAAAAAAAAUUUGACAAGUGGCACCUCACUUAGGGUGCCACGUCAGCGUUGACCGAGUCAACAAUGAAUUGGGGUCCAAAAUUGGCAAAAAAUCAGAACAUAGGGGGCUGUUUUGUAUUUAAAUUAGUUAGGGGUCCAUAAUCGCAACUUUUGAAAAGAUAGGGGUCCAAAAGUGCAAUUAAGCCUAUUUUAUUUACUAUUUUAUCCUUUAAUAAUAUUAUAUUAAAUUUGAAUUAGAAAAAUGAAAUCUCAUUAAAAUAGGAAAUAUACCACUACAACAGGAACAAUACUAUAUAUACUUUUUUUUUUUUUUUUUACAAAAUACUAUAUAUACUAUAUAUGAAGGGAAUAGAGACUUUGGGCUGAAUUUUUUAUAAUUUCAAUUAUACCCUUUAAACAAAUUUUCCUAUAUUAAUGUUCCAUUCUUGGUGGUAUUAAAAAAAGAUAAGAAUUUAUAUUAUAUUUGUUAAACUACUGUGUUGUUGUGGUAAAAGAUAAACAUGAUUUUUUUGGGUUUGUUACAAUUUUAAUUUCACAAAUAUUUGUACUUAUAAUUUUAAUCAAAAUCAAAAUUUCAUAUAAAAUACCGUUCAUAAUUUACACAUGUCACGUGCCCGUUUUUUCGCUAGUUAUAUAUAGUAUUUAUACUAUAUAUAAAGAAAACUAUCUCUUUCAGCACUUUUGGACAGGAUUUUUCUUUCCAAAAAUACCCUUAAUUUUUAAUACAAACAACACAUGUAACAAAUAAAUAAGAAUAAAUUUAAAUAUUAAAACAAAUGUAACAAACACGAUAUGUGUGUUUGGUUUUUUUCCUUUAUCAUUUAAAAAGUGUAACAAACUAUAUGAGUAUAUUUAAUAUUUGCUUUUUUUAUUAUCCCAAUUAUACCAUUAAAACAAAAUCCAUAAUCAUCAAUCAACAACAAGAAGAUCCAACAUUUUAAAAAAUAAAUAGAUAAAUUUAAAGGAAUUUUUUUAAGAUUCUUAUGUUGUUACAUAAUAUUUGGACAAGAUUCUAAUUCUCAUUAAUCUUUUCUCCCACGUCAAGAAUAUCUCUUUGCUUCUUCUGAUUCAUAUUCAUUCAUUCCUUAUUAUUCUAAUUUUUAACUCAAUUCAUCUUCCUAUAGAUUUGCAUCGUUUUUGCUGAACCAAGAAGGACUGUUAAGUAGAAGAAUUCCAGAAUCAUAGAUGUAAUCACAAUAGUUCUCAAUGACAAUGCUUAAAAAAAAUUGAUUUUUUUCCCAAUCUAUCUCUCUCAAUCCCGAUCUACUCUCUAUCCCCUUAAACCCUUUUUUCCUAAACUAUUCCUUACCUCUCAUGCUCUCUCUUCUCCAUCGGAUACCAUUUCCCCUUCUAUCAUCUUCAUUGCAUUCUCCUCUUUCUCUUUCAUUUUUGACUUCUCAAUAAAAAAUCAAUCGCAGCUUCAAUUUUUUAUUGUCGAAUUCGAAUUCGAAUUUGGGGUGCGUGGGUUCGAUUGAGAGAGAUAGGGAUCGAGAUGAUGGAUAUAUAGACAACGGUGUUGAUGGUGGUUUUGAAAAAGAGGUUUUGAUGGUGGUUAUCUGGAUUUUCUCUGGAUUUUUUUUUAUGAAGGUGAUGAAUGAGGGAAAGAAAGAAGAUGAAGUAUGGGAUAUAAUGCUAGAUGUUGUUGGUUCACAGUAAGAUACAGUGGACAUGCAUGAUCUAACAAUCUUUCUUUAUUAAAAAAGAUCAAACGGUUUAUAUUAAAAAAAAUAAUAGGAUCUAUAGUGGACCAGGGGGUUCACCAUAGAUAUUUGAGGUUAAAGUUAAUUUAUUUGCAAACUGUGGGAAAAGUGAAGGACUAAAACGUGAGUUUUAUUAAUUGUGAGACCAAAAUAAAACCAAAGAAUUAAAUAAGCCUUUUUUUUUACUAAAGCUAAGUUAUAACUUAUAAGACAUUGCAAAAAAAAAAAAUUAAUACCUUUAAACAAUUUAUCUGAUCCAAAUGAAAAAUAUUAUCUAAAAUAAAUCAUAAUUUGGUUGAUCACAAAUGAAACAUUGUUGUAGUUCAUCGAAUCUAUAUAAAAGUAUGAAUUUAUAUAAAAGAAAGAUAUUUACAAUAUAAAAAAUCAAUUGAAUGAAUUUAUUAUUAUUUUUUAAGAAAGAUUUACUAUUUCAUAAAUAUACACACAUAAAAUGAUUAUUAUUAUUUUUACUAAAGUUAAAUUAUAAGUCACUGCAAAAAAAAAAAUAAAAAAAAUUGCUCACUAAUAACAUAUUUUUGCAUUCCAAUUUAAUUCAUAAAAAAUGUAUUGGUCAAGUGGUUUGGGAAAACAUUUCAAAUAAGUGGGUGCAUUUAAGUUCGAUUCCCACGAGUGAUAAUUUUAAUUUUUAAUGAUUUUUGCCAAAUUGUUCAACUAAAUUUGAAUGAAUGCAUGAUCUUUGGCAUUAAAUUCCAAAUUUGAUAAAAAAAAAAGAGAGUGAUUGGAUUAGAGGAGAAAUUUAAUUAUUGUGAUGGUUUAAAUUGUAAAAAAUCAUUAAUUUAAGAUGGGGUGAAUAUGCAAAUAAUAAAAUACAUGCUAAAUUUGUGCAAAAUAAAAUAAUAAAUAUUAUUAUUCUAAUGGAGUACAAAUGGAAAAUUUUGAUUGGUUUGGGUAAAUUGUCCAUGAGUUUUUAAAGGUAAUUUAGAAAAAACCUUAAAAAAUUGGUCUGUUACUUGUUUAGCGUACAAUUUAGCGACCGAUUUCAAAGUUUGGUAAAAUGCAAAGUUCACUAAAAUUGUGAAAAUGCUACCACGUUUUUUUCCCCCUCAUCUCAAUUAUCUACUGAUGUGAAAUGUUAUAUGUUAUUAGGAAUUCUCUCAGGUACUUAUGGGUCUGUUUGGUUAACCCCAAAAAAGAGCUUUUAGCUUCUAGCUUAUAGCUUAUAAGCUCGUUUGAUAAAAAAAACUCUGUUUGGUAACACUUUUUUACCAUGAGCUUAUAGCUUAUUUCACGAGCUUAUAAGCUAUUUUUCAGAAGCUAUUCCAAGUAGCGUUUGAGCUUAUAGCUUAUAGCUUCUCACUUUUUCUUCCAAUUUUACCCUUAUUAUUUCAUUUAAAUUGUAUUUUUAUCCAUUAUAAUUUUUAUAAUAAGCUACGUAAUAAAGACUACUAUCCCUUUAUUCCAAUUUUUGUAUAUAUAUCAGCUGGCCUUUUUUUUUUUUUUUGAAAAAAUAUAUACCUUCGUUUUUUUUUUACGAAACAAAAUAUUAUUAUUCUAUUAGUGUUACUUUUUUUUUUUUUUUGAGAUAAGUGUUAUUUUCUUUAUUCUCUGUUAUUAUUAUUACUCUAUUAGUGCUACUUUUUUUUUUUGUUUUUGAGGUAAAUGUUAUUUUUUUUAUAAAGUGGAAACACUUAAAUGAUAAUAAAUAUAAGAUAAAAUUUUAGUGAAUAAAAUUUAAUUUAAUUUAUAAUACAUAGGAUAUAUUAAAUUAAUAAAUUUAAAGUAUUUUUUUAAAGAAAAAUUAGUUUACAAAAUUACAAAUACUUAAAUUAAUGAUAUAAUUUUUAUUAUGAAUUAAGAAUACCCUUUAUGUCAUUUUACAUUUAUCAGCUAGUUGAACCGCUAUUUUUACCAAACACUUCAGUUAGCUUAUCAGCUAUAAGCUAUCAGCUAGCUUAUCAGCUAAAAGCUAUCAGCUAACUUAUCAAUUAUCCGCUAUUUUUACUAAACAGAGCCUAUGUCCACCGAUGUGAAAGGCAAACCAAAGUUUACUAAAAUUUCAAAAUUGUCACUGUGUGCAUCUUUCCCAUUAGGUAUUUUCUGUGCCGAUGUGAAAACCCCUGUUGUAAGAUGUAUAUUUUCUAGUAGUGGUUAUGCCAGCUUGUAGCCUUAGAUCUCUCCAAGGAAGAAAAAAGCUACUAAAAAAACUUGAAUUAGUAAGAAGAACUUUAGAGGAAAAAAAUCUCCCUAAAUUUAGUGACCAAAGUAUAGGGAAAAAAAAUAUUUUUCCAUCACUAAUUUUCGUCCCAAUUUUAUUUGUUUUAUUUUUAUAGUGAAAAUUCUACCUCAUAUAUUAACAAAAGAAUAAAGUUUAAAGGAUCAUCAAAUCAUCAGCACAUUAUAUCUUCACCUAAAAUCAUAAGACACUUACUAUAUGAAUCACUUUUUAUAUGGCAUUUGUUAAGAUAGACUCAUUUAAUUUUUAGAAGUACUACUUUAACAAGUUAAAACUAAAAUAAUAUAUAAAACAAGGGUUUAAGUUAGCAACUUUUGCAGGCAUUUGUUAGAAUAUAUUCACUCAUUUUUUUAAGGGACAUCCACUCAUUUUUUUUUUAGAAGGACUAUAUGUUAGAAGUGAUAAUGAAAAAUUUGUUAAUUAUACACACAGUAAGGUGCAUGUUGCUAAAAUACUCCAAAAAGCUUCCCCCAAACACAUAUUUCAAGGUGCAAAGUUCAAAUUCUUUUAGGAGAGUUGUAAAAUGAUCAUUAGUGUCGAGUAGUAGUAUGAAAGAUUAAGAAGUAAUUACCAUCAACAUUGGUAGCACUAAUCAACCUGAGAGCCACUGAACGGCCAAAGGAGGAAGUGUAGGUAUCAAUUAUAGAGCUAGUGAUAUCACCAACAACAUUGAAUCCACCUUUGAUUAAACCAGUGGCACUUUGAGCUGCAGUGAUUUCGUUGAUAUCCAAUACAUUCUUAUGCAUCAAUAUCACUGUCCCCUUCACCUUUUGGCCUCUGUUAAAGAUACUUUUCACCCCUGAAUACAUCUUAGUAAUUUACUGCUUUUAAUUUUGUAUUCUUUUGCAAAUUAAUGAAAGAAAAGUUUGUGGUUUGCAUGUUGCAACCAUCUCAUUAUUUAUAGGGCCAAAUUAAUGUUCUGAUUCAAAACUAUAUUAUUUUUUUAGAGACUGAUUCAAAUCAUAUGAGUCAAUGUUCUUUCCAUAUUUUAUCCUCAUCCAAAAUAAUUGAUCUACUUGUAAAAAAAAAACAUUUACCAAAAUAAUUUAUCUUUUUCAAUUUGCAUGCAACAUUAACGACUUCUUUUCUACUGUACAAUGGAAUUAAUAUCAUCAAUUUCAACUCAAUAUCUUCAAUUUUUUAUAUAUAUGGUAAAAGUUAAUACAUGAUAAAAGUACUUCAUUAAAAGCAAUCUUCUCUUUACUUUUAACAUAGGUGCAGUUUUUUUUUUUGAAUGAACAUAGGUGCAGUGUUAAAAAAAAAUGGAGUAUUCCUUAAACGAAUUAGUUGUCUUUUUUUAUGUGACUAAAAUGAAGUCGUCUUUGUUUAAACAUACUCUUCUCACAGAAGAUAACCAUGGUUCAGUGCAAUAAUAAUAAUAAUAAUAAUAAUAUUAGCAAGAGGACGUUGAGGACUAUAAUUUGAGAGGUAGGUAGGCGAAUUUACCGGGGCAAUAAUGCAAUGAGAAGAGCACCCAAUUGCAGUGCUUGGCCCCAAAGAUGUUCAAAACUAGACUAUUAGUGUGUGAAGAGAAAAACAAAAGAAGAAAAACAUGAUUUCUCAGUAUGUCCAGUUAUAUUCAAAUUUGUUAUAAUACAAUGUCAAUUGUUGAUUGAAACUAGAGAUUAGUUCAGGUAGCAGAUGAUGUCCUCGAUUAUGAUUCUCUUUCUUUGCACGAUUGACGUUGAGGAAAGAAUUUUCUCCCUCAGCUACGGGUUCCUGAAAUUAUUUAGUAAAAUGUUAAAUAGAGUUGUGUUUUUGGCCAAGAAGUGUAUGUAAACUAAGAUAAAGAGAUAAUGAUAAAUGGAUAAAUUAGCGAAAAAAAUAGCUUGUGUUUGAUUGUGUGUUGACUGUUAACUCGGUCUAAAGUCUUCAAGGUUGAUGUACUAGCCAAUAGACUCGAGAAAGAAUCGACCAACCCUCUUUCGGCUAAAAUAACACUUGCAUAACCUUCUAUCGGCUCGGAAAAUUCUCCCAACCAAAUGUCAUUUUGUGUUGCGUUAUCACUUGAAUUUCGAGUGAUGAGAUGACGCAACGUAAUUGAAAUGGUUACGAACAAUAUCAUCAUUACGUCAUAAAAGUAGAAAAGUAGUCGUUGGGAUGAAUCAAUUUGAGAUCUUUUGUGUAAAAGUAUUUCAUUACUCUCAUUUUUUUUUGGGUAUAAUUACUCUCAUUUUAACGUCUUCUACUUAUAUAUAUGAUUAAAUUUUGAUACAUUAAUAUGAGAAGAGUACUUUAUUAAAAAUAAUUUUAUCUCUCUUUCAUUUAUACAUUGUUCUUCAUCCAUGUGAAUUAGUUAACUAAAUCGGUUAUUUAUGAGGGAGAGAGUAUUUUUCUUUUGAACUAUAAUAUUUAUUUUGUGUAAACCUUCUGAUUUUGGGAAAAUAAACCGCUUUUUUUUUUUUAAAUAAAACUCUAAACUCCAGUUUUCAGUACGUAGGUAAGUUUGAAAUCAUCAAUUGAUCAUUGACAUGCAAAAACUAUUAGCAUGAGGCUAAGCGUGGCAGAUAAAAUAACAAUGAAUUUGUUUAAAAAACAGUAAUAAAGUACUGAAGGUAAAAUACUUUAUCAUAAAAAAAUAUAAUAAUAAUAUAUGUUGAUUGAUCAUAUUUUGACAAAUAGAUCUAUUGAGCUAUUGUUAAUUACAUUCUUACGUGUAUACAAAUAAAAAUAUUCCCUGUACGAGGUUGUCUUUUUUGUUUUUGAUUUUGAUGGUACGAGGUCGUCUUUCUUUCUUUUGUUUAAACAUACUACUUUUCUCACAUAAGGUAACCAUGGUUCAAUGUAAUAAUAUCAAUAAUUGUACAAGAGUUAAUUUAACCGUGCGAUUAUUGCACAUUACGAUGCUCUCCAUUUUCAAUUGUCACUAUUUACUUGUUAACAAAAUUAAAAAUAGUAGAAGUAGGACUAUACUAGAUUCAAUAAUAUUUUAACUUUUAAAAAAUUAAAUUCAUUAGUUUUGACCGUUUCCUAAUACAAUAUAUUGAUAAAUCCUUAAUCAAUGUCUUAAAUACACUUUUUAGUAUUUUUCUUAAAUUAAAUAGUAGGUCAUAUCAGAUUUUUAAAAUGUCACAUUCAAACCUAAAUAAUAAACCUACGACACGCCACAUGCUAGACAUUGAUCUUAAAAAUUUUGGUAGAUUAGACUUAGAUUUUGCAAAAUUUAGUUCGGCCUAACCUAUUAUAUUUUGAAGAUUGCUCUAAUCCAUGUCCUAAUUAUUCAUCCCAUUAAUUCAGCUGUUCAAUAUUUUUCAACGGCAAUUACUGCUACGGGCAUUUUUAAGACCAGUUCAUUUACUUUUUAAAUUGUUUUAAUAGCAAUUUUCAUUAUUAUAUGUACCCCAUAUACGCUUCCCAUGACGUCCAACGCUGACAGCAGCAUGCAAGUGCACUUCACGUGAUCUUGUUCCUUAUUGCAUAGUUAGUUUUUUAUUUUCUAAUUUUACUAUACCGAACUCUAACAUUUUCACACUCAAAGUUCUUGCCCUGUCUCCCGUUUUUUUCUUUUCUUUUUUUAACAAAAACAACUUAUAUAUUUUCAUUCAUCAAAUCAAAUUGAAAGUAAUACAAGAUGGAAUUAAAUAAAAGAUAUGAUGCCGAAUAUACAUAGAUGUGAUAUAAGAUAGAAUAACGAGCAUAUAAUUAUAACACUUAAUAAUAUAUGAGUGACAUAAUUUGUUUGUGUUCAAGCUAAACUCAUCUUAAAGUUUUGAAACUGUUCUACUAAUAAUUUAACUGUGCGAUUGCGCAUUACGAUGCCCUCCAUUUUCAAUUGUGACUAUUUCCUUCAUCGCUCAUAUGAAUUAGCUGUUAAAAGGUAGGUCGUAUCAGACUUUCAAAAUGUCAUAUUUAAACCUAAAAAAUAAAUUUAUGAUAGACCGCAUGCUAGAUACAGGCCUUAAAUUUUUUAACAGAUUAUCCUUAAGUCUUGCAAAAUUUAGUUCGACCUGCCUAUUUCAAAAAUUGCUCAAAUCUAUUUCAUAAUUGUUCAUUCGCUUAAUUCAUUGGAAGUUAACUGUUGCUCGAUAUUUUUCAGCGGCAGUUCAGAUCGGUUUAUUCAUUUUUUAAGUUGAUGUAAAUAGAAAUAUGUACCCCAUAUUCGCUUCCCAUGACGUCCAAUGCUGAUAGAAGCAGCAUGCAAGUGCAAGUGUAUUAUAUUACCGUAUAGUCGCUUGAAAUGAAACCACACACUUCACGUGAUCUUAUUCUUUAUUGCAUUCGUUUUUUCUUCACUAAUUUUACUAUCCCAAAACUCUAACCUUUUCACACUCAAAGUUCUUGCCCUCUCUCCCUCUUUUUUGUUUGACCAAAAGCAACUUAUAUUUUUUCAUUCAUCAAAUCAAAUUGAAAGUAAUAUAAGAUAAAAUUAAAUAAAAGAUAUGAUAACAAGCAUACGAUUUUAACACCCUUAAUAAUAUAUGAGUGACAUAAUUUGUUUGUGUUCUUGCCAAAUUUAUCUUAAAGUUUGGAAAUUGUUCUACUUAUAUCUACAAUUGGACAAAAUACCGUCAAACUUCGAUUGAUUGCUAGAAUUAUCCAUGAUGUCUUCUGCCACUAACUUACAAUCUAGUUCAAUUUUCACGGUUGAUAAUCCUAAUUCUCGAACAUUCAUAGUGAUAUGUCCGGUGAAGAUGAGAUAAAUAUGGGGGUGGUUCUCUCCGGGAACUGCAUUUGUUCUCCGGAAAUUUUUCUUUAAGUUGUAAAUAGAUCAUUUAAGUUGUAUAUUUAUCGCACUCUUAUCCUUUUAAAGAUUUGUUUGAAACUUAAAAACUUAAAAAACUUCAUAUAGGUGUAUUAAAUUAACAAUUUAAAAGAUCUAUUUGAAUUUUUUAAAAAAAAAAAAACAAAAAAACUUAAAGGACAUAUUUAAACCUUAAAAAACUUAACUGAUCAACCUAAUAUUUUUGUCAAACUCAUAAAAAAGCGUUCAUGGCAUACGGUGUUUUCCUUCCAUAAAAAUAAAAAAUAAAAAAUAUCUGAAUGUAUUUUUGUUUUACAAAACUCACAUGGCAUGUUGUAGGAGAUUUGAGAUGUGUGUGGGGGUGGGUGUAAAAUUCCAUAAACCUGAUAAAUCAAAAUUGUUAAAAGUGAGAGUAAAUUGGAAUGGAAAAUUUAAAAAUUGUGGAAGUGGGGAACCACGUAAAAAUAAACUUUUCCAACUUAAACCAUAUGAUAAUUUCUUAAUCUGUCCUCUCAUGUUAUCAGCAGUACGCUUUUAAUAGUGUUUUAUAUUUGAAAUAUACUGCCAGAAAUACAUUUAUGAUAAUAUAAAUUGAUAGAUUUAAGCAAUAUAAGAAGAUUCAUAAAUUAUCAAAACAUGCGCAAUGCUAAAGCCCACAACAUGCAGAUGCACAAAGGAGGAUUCGAUUUGUAGUGCAAAGUUGUUGGGGCAAUGAAAAUCGGAUUUAAUUUGUAUGUAUAGAUAGUAUAAAACUUGUUUACACAUGUAUCAAAUCAAAUUACGCCAUUAAAAUAUUUAUGGAGAUAUUUAAACAAUUCACUUAUAAAAACGACACUUUAUUCUAAUUUGAUUGGAUGGAUAUAUAAAAAGAAAUUACACUACUUGUUCAGAAAAAAAAAAAGAAAUUACACUAUCGGUGCAUAGAAAUGACACUCAUGAAAAUUACCCUUCCUACCAAACAGUAUAUAAAGUCUCUAUAUUAUUGCCAACAACCAUAAAUUAUUGAGGAGGUAGAGGUUAGCCAUUUUAGCACGUUUGUGUUAUUGAGAUAACAAAAUUGAAAAAAGUCAAAAAUUGAGUUAUUUAAAAUGUAGUAGAUUUUGAAAGAAAGAAAAAAAGUUCCAAUGAACUCAAAUUUUUGAGUUUUUGAGAUAACCAAUUAAAAUUGUUCUUGGGACGUAAAACACGCUGAGUAUUAGGGGUGUUCAAAUCCAUACCAAUCCAAAAUAAAACCGCAAACUGAUCCAAAAAAACCGAAAACCGCAAAAAACCAAAUAUUUUUGGAUGUGUUUGGAUGUUGUUUUGGAAAAACCGCUAUGAUCGGAUCGGAUUUCGGAUUGCGUUUUCAAAACCAAACCGAACCGCAAAAGUAAAUUUUUAUACUUAUUUAUUAUUUUAUUAGUAUUAUAUAUUGCACUAAUAUAUUGCUUAUUGAUAUUUAAUCUUAUAUAUUGCAUUAAUUUAAUCUAUAUUAUUACUACUUCAUCUAUUUCAAAUAUAAUCAAUCAUUUUUAUUGUGUAAUGUUAACUUUUUAAAUAAAUUUGUGUCAUAUUUUGUAUCAAACCUAUUAUUUUAUUGUGUAUGAGUAAUAUUAAUAUUUAAAAAAAAAAUUACAUGUUACACUUUGGAUAUCCAAAAACCGAUCCAAAUUAAACCGCAUAUAUUUGGAUCGGAUCGGUUCGGAUUUUUUUAACAUAAUCAUCCAAACCGAACCGAACCGCACGUGAUUUUUAUUUUGGAUCGGUUGAUUUUUAACCUCAAAACCGAUCCAAACCGGACCGCGAACACCCCUACUGAGUAUGUAAGCUUAAUAUUGUUUUUCUUUUACAAAAAGUAAAUUUAAGGGGGUGUUUCUAUCAAGUAUAAUAUUUACAUUUAUGGGAAUACAUAGGUACGGAAUGAGUAUAUCCAUAUUUUUUAUAAGAUUGAGAAAUCAUUAUUCUUAGGUAUCUAAGGUUCUUAGGAAUGAAAUAACUUUUCUUAACUUUAAACAAUCUUACGAAAUUAUUCCCAAGGUAAAGGAUGGAAAAGUAGGUUCCCAUCAAAUUUUGUACACUUUUUUUCUAAAAGAAUAUAACUUGCAAUUCCCCUAGGAGUGUUCAAGAGUGUGCCAAACAUUUUUUUUUUUUUUUAAAUACCCAUGAAUAGAACUCCCGUCAUGAUAUCUUUAACUGUGAUUCCCUUUCUUCAAGCGAUUAAUGGUGAGGAUGGAACUUUGUUUUUAGGUUUUUUUUGCUACUAGACUAGUUGGAAAUGCAUGUAAAAUAACAACGGCAGAAAAAUAAAAGUGAUAAAAUAGGGAAAAUAGUUUGUGAUUGAUUGAUUAUGUGUUAAAUACAUUGUAUAGAGUAUGUACUUAUAGGCAAAACUAUUUCUACUGGCCACAAGAUAUUACCUACAGUGUUUAACCUUGUUCGACUAUUUUCACGAGUAAGCAUCAGCUUUCCCACGCUCGACUGUCAGCUUCCCAAUUAAUGGCAUGACAUGUUGACAAGGUCCAUAAUGUUUAGUACCUCAUUGUCCAGAUCUGCUUGAGCUUUGACUCAAUAUGAUGUCUUCAAGACAAUCGACCUACCCUUGUUUGGCUAGAAUAACACUUGCAUAGAUUUCCAUCGCUUGUCUAUUGAUUUCAGCUAACAUGACAUAUAUAAUUACUUUUAGGUGUAAACAUAUGCUUCCUUGCGUUGCAUUUUCGAUUGGCUUCCAAGUGAUUGGGAUGAUGCAACAUAAUCGAACUGAUUGCGCGUGAACAAUGCGAUCUUUUAUGAAUGGAUAUGAACUAAUAACCCUGUCAAUCCAAUAACUCCAACGGUUACCGCAGUUUUCUCAAUUGGUAUGGUGAUAUCUUCGCCUAUUUGAAAGACGAUCUUUACGUAUAAAUAACUUUUUAUAGACCUGGAUUAUUCCCCAACUUUUCACCCUUUGUCGUUCUUUUUAUGUGGCUUCCUAUCCACUAAAUAAUUCAUGACUAUUACUUUUUCUACCCUGCUGCCUUCUCGCGCGCCCUGCAAAAUUUACUAAAAUACCCCUGGUCCGGAUUACAUAAUCCGGAGCAAAUUGUUAGUGAUAUCCGAAAAACGAAAUUCGGACCAGAUGUUAUGCGUUUUUUUGUGUCUUUCUUUGAUGUCAAGGGUUUCUGUUGACCGUUAUAUGAACCCCACACAAGUUGCAAUGUUAUUCCAGGGUUCAUACGAACAGUCAAUAAUGACCAUGACACCACUAACACCCCAAAAAAACUAAAAACAUUUGAAGAAAAUGGAAGAAAAGAGGUGAAAUGAAGAAUGAAGGUAUUUGUUGAAGAUGGAAGCAUGUUUAUAGCCUAAAACAAGUCCUAGGUCAUUAGUACAGUAAAUGAAAACGUGUUAGUGGUUGUAACCGUCCAAACCCACAUUAAUGGCUCUCUUUCAAAAGAAUCCAAUGCUGAAGCUUUCAAGAUUUUACAUUCCGGAAUAACCUUAGCCCUACAGAAAGUGCCAACUUUUCCCUUGUUCACCAUUAUCGCAUUAAUCCGGAAAAUAUAUUCCGGAAAACAAAGGUGCAUUUCAGAUUUUAUUUUCUGGAAUGCAACAAUGUCAUGGCCAGUGGUCUGCACCACACAUUUUUGUCGAUGGUCAGGUAAUAAAAAACGUGUUUUAUCACGUUUUUUGACUGCAUUUAUGGUCUCCCAACCGUUUUUGCCCCUCCCUAUAAAUAACCUUCCAAACCCCACAAUUUCUCACACCAUCCUCUCUCACCCUCUCCUCCUCUUCUUCCUUCUAAAACCAUCGUUUUUCAUCGUUGGCCUUUCAUAGAUAAGGGUCUCGUUGAAAACUUUCAAGGUUUGUAUGAACGGUCAAUGUGGAUGGAACAGUGCUGCAACGAAGUGCGGUUCAUCUGAGGGUCAUGUGGGUCAGUGUGGUUCUUAGCUUGGCCUAUCUGGGCGUAAGUUUCAGCACCCCCACCUCCCUCAGGGACAUUGUUUUCUUCUUCCUGCCUUCCUCUUCCCUCCUCCUCCUCCGGUUUUCCUCCAUUAGGGAACCUACUGCUAUGUCCUAUCGCAUAGUAGUGAUUAGGAUCUUAGGAGAUUAGAAUUAGGCUCUUAGGAUAUUAGAAAUAGAUUUAGGAUCUUAUAUAAUAAGCUUAAAAAGCUUGAAAAUUAUUGUAAUGUAUAGUUCAUAUAUUAAUAAAAUGAGUUAUUUUUAUGUUUGUGUCCUUUUAUUUCUGUUUUUUAUUUUAUUUUACGAAUUGUAAAGCUUAAAAUUGCAAAAGUUAUGGUAAAAUAUUAUUCCGGAUUUUCAAAUCCGAUUUAAAAAUACAUUCCGGAAAACGAAAUUCGGACCAAGGGUAAAAUUGAAAAAAAAAAAAAAAAAGGGUGUGCAAGGAAAGAUAUAGGGUGGAAUAGGUAAAACUCACAAUUCAUUUUGGUGCGUCCUUCAACCCUCAAACCCAAUAGUCAGAGAGCUUUGCCAAUGAUUAUUCUCUAGUUUUACACCCGAUAAUUUUCUUAAUCUUGUCAUUUUCAAGAUAAAAGACCACUAAUUCAGAAAACGAGAAUGAGAAGGGAAGUGGCAAACGAACUUUGACUCGUAAAGGCAAAUUAAAGCAUGACAAUGUCUAGAUAGGGGAAACUUAAAUUCCUAACAUUUCAUGGGAAGGUAAUAAUUGUCUCAAUCGAUUUCCAGAACUAACACUUCCUUCAUUUACUAAGUAAUUUCUUAUCCUUGUUUUUAAGAGUCUUUGUGCAAUUUUAUUUAAGGAUUUUUAGAAAAUUCUAAGGAGGUGCUGAUAGUUUAGUGAAGAGUCUAUGAUGUUUAGAGAAACCAUUUUAAGUCUUGUAUUUUCCUACCUAGACAACUCUAUAAAUGUCAUAAGUCUUUUUGUUAUAGACGCUAUGAGUUGAUUUUAUCACUAUGACUAGAAAAACUCAUUGGAUUAGUAUUGAAUGAUCAACUUCAAUGAUGUUGUUUGAACUAUAUGUAAUCGAUGAUGUCCUCUAUUAAUGCAAUCUGAAAUAUGCUUAUAAGGUAUACCUUGUGCUUAAUGAUUUUCAAUGCCUGAUAAACUCUGAAUUGAUUUUAAUUUAUAGUUCACAAUCAACACUUGUUUUUGUAACACGAACUAGGUAGUGUUCUUUAAUCAAUUUAUCUAGACAUAAGGUAUUAAUUAGUAUGGUCGGUAGUUUAACUGUCAAUGAAUCUUUUGAUAAAAUUAGUUUCACCUAAGAAAUUAGGGUUCUAUUUUAGAUAAAUGGGACGUCGAGGCAAGAAAUUGGUCGUGGUCUAUUUCUUUAAACUGUUGUGAACAUAGAAAUCAAAUUGUUAUUGUCUAGGAACUAGUAUUAUCAAAGAAAAUCUUUCUAUAAUUUAAUUUGCGAAACCAAAUCUUACGAAAACUCCCCCCAAUUUAACUUUUUAAUAAGUAUUGUUUAAUUGUCAAGUAUAAACAAUAAUAUUUGUGGAGAGGGAUCUUUAUAAACACUAUUACUUGAUCUGCCAAAGAGUCCAUCAAGCUUUUGGCGCCAUUGUUAGGGAAUCGUUGAUGAUCUCAACAAGGUAGCUACGCUCUACUUACAUGAUUUGUUUUUUUUUGUAAUUUAUUAUAAAAACAUAAAAAUAUUUACUUUUGGCUCUUUAAUCUUAGUGUGUGUUGUGCUAAAUAAAUAUUCUUGAGUGUUGUUAUGCGAGGUGGAAGCUCAGGUACCUUGUUAUUUGAUUCUGAGGUUGAGAAGAUUACAAGAGAAAACCAGAAAGAUUCUUUUUCUAUCUCAGUACCCCUCAAAUAAUCUAAAAAUACUAUCAGAGGGAGAACAUAGGCAUGGUUAGAGAUGGUUUAGCAAAGGAAACUCAAGUUUGAGUUUUCCCCCCAAAAUCCUAAAAUACUCUUUUUUUCCUUAUUCUUUUUUUUCUUCCAGAAUUAAUGAACGAUGGUGUGCAAGUCCUAUAUUUCACCACUUAUAUGUCACGCAGGUUCUAUUGUAACUUCUUUCAUUUAUUACUUUCGUUGUUCUUUUGCUUGAUCUAUUCUUUUUUCCAUGUCUAUUCUCUGUUCCGAUUUGUUUUGAUUUUGUGAUCGAUAUUAUCUCUACUGUUACUUCUUUCGGUUAUUGUAUCCCUUGGUGUUUGAUUAUGUUUCACAUUGAUAAACUUAAUAGUGUUUUUACUUUUUACUUGUUGAAGAGCUUACAUUUGUGUCUAUAGAGUUCUAUUGGAAGUAAAUUGUUUAUUUUUAUGUUUUCUUAUAUUUUUGUUUGUUUUUGUAUUCAACUUGGCUAUUGUAAUCACACCUCUGUUUCCGGUAGCUGAAUUAUUAUUGUCUAAAUUUGAUCAAAGGCAACCUAGCAAUUGAAUAAUCGAGCCUUGUCGGAAAGUGUCAUUGUCACCACUCAAUGGAUGAGAAACCAACAAAAAAGCCGGAUUAUUAGAAGAAUGAAUGUGAAAGAAUUGUUACCAAUCAUGGAAGUCAUGGGAGGUACAUAAAGUUCAACAAGAUCACAAAAGAAUAGCGUGAGAAGGAGAAAAAAGUUGUGCGAGAAAUCAGAGAGAAUUGAGGAAAAACUCAGUUGAUACCAUAUUUGAACCAUAUGAGACAAUUGAUUCCUGAAAUAAAAACAUUAAGGCUGCAUUUGAUACAAGAGGACUAGAAUGUUACAAGGUACAAACAGACACAAUAAUUCUUAUUGAUGUAAAGUAAAACAUUAACAAUAAAACAAACAUACAUAAUAACAUGAUCGUAAGUAGGAAGUGAGGGAAUGGAAUUCCUUCACAUCUGUUAUUCAAAGCAGCAACACAACAACCAUGAUCCACUUUAGAUGGAGAUACUAUUAGGAAUGCCUCGGCAAGUCAAUCCUUCCUCACUAGAAGGAUAAAGUAGAGUAUAUGGCAUCUUCACUGGUCCGUACCGAUUUCUCAAUGUCUCAUCAUUGUUCCUUUGAGUGAGUUUCUGUUCAAUUUCAGCCAACUUCUUUCCAAACCUCUUGAAGGCUUCUUUUGGUUGUGAAUCUGAAGUCCAAUUGUCACCUUCAAUUCUAUCUCCAAGGUAUUGCUCAUCAGAAGCAUGCCUUGACAAGACCUCUAUAAUGGUCAAGUCAGUAAGUGUAUCAUUCUUUGGUGUGAUUGUCCUCAAAUAAGACUUCUGGUAGUCCUUAGCAAGCUCAUCAUACUCAGGUGAUCCUUUCUCAGGCAUGAAUCUUCUACUCUUUGUUGGCCGGUUAAGGAUAUAUCCUCCAUAUGGAUAUUGUCCGAAAUUAACAGCUGCAUGAAGUGCUGAAGCAAUCCAUAUAAGGAUGGUGGAAGCUUCGAUCAACUCUUCACGGGUUUGCAUCUUAAACCACCAUGUGGCAUUCUUCAGGUCACCAUGACCAACCUCUACAAGUUCCUUCCAGAAUGCUUGGAGUUCAGCAUCUUGUGCAAUGGCAGCAUCAGACUUGUAAUAGAAAUUCACAUAUUCACCAACCCAUGACUUAAUGGCAGCCCAUAUUUCUAGUCCAUCAGAAGCAUAAGGAUAAUCCUCUAUCAGAAGGCGGAGACCGGUAGGAGAGGCUGGAUCCUCAACAGCUACUCCUCUAAAUAACAAGCAAGGAAGAAAUAUUAACAUACAAAAAAUAUGUUCUAUGGAGUUAUUAUUAAUUAAAGUGAUUUUAAUGAUCAUUUUACAACUGUUUUAGAGGAGAUUUAAGCCCGUAUAACAGAAAUUAUUAGUUAGAGUUUGUUGAUAAAAAAUUGACAGACCAAAGAUGUAAGGUUACCUUUUGAUUAGAUCGUUAGGUAGUCCUUGCUCAAUGAAAUUCCAAUCCUUGUAAACAACAGCAGACAUUUCCAAAGCAUAAUUUCCCCACAAGAAGGUUGAUUCUAUAAUACCCUCUGCAUUGACCAAGACAUUUCGUGCAAGUGCAUUUAUGUUCAUUGUGUCACGGUAGUGAGGAAGUAAAAGUUUAUGAAUAGGGUGAACCACACUAAGAUGCCUGUUUGUUGCUAUGAUGAAUGGCUCAACAACAGCGUGGGUGUUCAACCUGUCACACAUGUCGAUAUUCAUGAAUUAAUCAUAGAUAGGUUAAUUAUGUUUGAUUGUGUAUACGUGAUUAAUGAGAUUCAUACCAAUGGCUGACAAGUUGAUGAUAGCAGGAGUCAUUUACAACAACAAAAGCCUUGGCAAGGAGCCAAAUUGAAGCUUCAACACCUUCACUUGCGGGCAAGUAAACAUUGCUAACAGGACCAAAACUAUCACCUUGAGGGUGUGGCCUGCUUAGUUCAAUGGCCAGUGGCUUCAAAGUUCCAUCAUCUUGCAAGAAAAGUAUGGUUCUGGUAGCAUAGGCCUUUGUCUCGGUUGCAUUUAUUUUCCUCAAAUAUGGAAAGAGUGGGUCGUGGUGAUCAAGUAUGUACAAUCUAUUGUCUUGGAUAGCCUGUAUGACAAAAUAAAAUUUAGCUACUGUGGUUUACUUGAAUAAAAAAAAUUCAAUCAUGGAGAAAAAUAUUAAUCAAACUAAGUCCAUGAGGUGUCAACCCAGUGGUUAAAGUCGACCUUAUAACCUCAAGGGAUAGAUUUCAAAUUUUCUCCCGGACGAAAUUCACGAACGCCACUUUGGAAAAAAAUAGAACUGAUCAAAUAUGUCAUUACCUGUUCUACGGUGACCCCACCCAUGUUUGGCUCCAAGUUUUCUUUGGUUAUGGUGCUGGUAUUAUCACCAAAUUUUUGGCUAUCUAGCUUGCUCUUUGGUGGAAACUCCUGUAUUAAAUUUAGCAAGCAAUAAUGUCACCAAUUACAAAAAUAACAUAAUGUUUACAAAAUAGUCUUAGUUUUAUUUUUUUAAUUUCUUAACAAAGUUAAACUAUUAGCUUUACCGAAAGUUUUUUGAUGAUGUGUGGGUUCACCCCAGCAAUCAUCUCCCUUGCAAAUUCCUCAUCAGUCUGCCAUGCAGAAUGGUCCACUGUUCAUAUUAAGAAAUUUUCAAAAGAUCCAUUAGAUUUCUUUAUAUGAUUUUGUAUAAAUAUAUUACUGCAAGGACUAGGUAUUAUGAUUAAUAUAUACCUUGAAUCACUUUUGGUGGUGGAAACUUAAGUGCUUGUUCACCAUCAGAUCGGAAAAGUUCCUUGAACAAUGGUAUUGGACUAAUCUGGCUUAGUACAUCAGUAGGAAGCUUAAUUCCACCCUCGUAGAGAGAGCGCACAUCUUGAAAGGUGUUAAACUCAGGGUUAUUGAGUUGUAAUGUAACUACAGAUCUCAGUUGAGGUAUGACAUUUUGAGAUGCUGAUUUGAGUAUGUAAACAAGAAAGUCUGAUGACUUUGUGUGUCCAAAAGAUUCAUCUCUUGGAAGGUAAACAGUGGGACUUCGAGUCUCACUCUUAGGAUCUGUUCAAAUAUAUAAUAACAAUAUAUGUUUUAGAAACAAUACCAAAAUCUUUAGAAUCAUAAGCAGGGUAAACAUUUGGAUCAACCAAAAAAACACAUGUUUAGUCCAAAAUCUGACAGAAGUGUUUGUGGCCUAACCUGUUUUAGUUUUUCUUCUGCCAGUUCUUCCCCUUCGAGGGUAAGGGAAAUCGCUUGAUCCCCCAAGAAUUUGACGCGCCAAUUGAGGUUUCGAGUCAGGCUCACCCAAAUCAUUGUAGACAUCGUAAUCAUAUAUUCUUUCCCAUUCCUUGCGCUCUCCAGUUCCAUCUCCUCUUAAAGUCUUCAAUUCUUCUUGUCUGUAGUACACUAAUGGAGCCGGUGUUUCACUUGGAAGGUAUGUCUACAUAAAUUUAAUCAUUCAAAAUAUCAAGUUUUAGGAAAUAGGCUUAAUAUUCAGCAAGCUAUAUAGUUAUUAUGAUAAAGUGGAUUUGUGAUUUGAGACAUCAGAAAGAGAUUGGGAGUUGCAAGUUCUCAACUCCCUCUACUCGCAUUUCUAAAAACUAAUUACUAAUAUUUGUCGUUAUAAUAGAAAUAACAAGCUACAUGUGUAAUAGAAUUUUUAUUCUUACCUUGUUGGCAAAGAAGAUGCGGUCGGUUUUGUACUUUUUAGAAUUGUAAAUCCAUGAGUUGCAGACAAAGUGGAUGGAUCCAUGGUUUGGAACAUCUUCAAGUGUCAAACUCACAAGGAAGAAUUCACCUUGCAUAAAAUUAUCGAUGUAAAAAGCUCCGGGAAUUCCCAUGUUACUGUCCCAUUCAAAAUGAAUACUGAAAGCAUUUUGUUUGUCUCCCAAUGUUGGUAUGGAGGUAAGAAGACCUUCCAGAAAUGUUUCCUUUCCCACUUUUCCUUUUCCAGCAGCUAUAUUAAAAAUGUCAAAUAUUAUUAGUUUCUCAAUUUCACUAAUCCAUGAUUUUCAAAGUUUAAUUUUAUUCUUUUACAGAUCCAUUUUUCUUUUUACAUGAUCAUCAUCCAUCUUGCCUGAGUUAUAUCGAAGGGAAAUAAUUUCAAUAUUUUAGUGGUAAUUGAUUGUACCUGAUCAUUUAUAACCAAUAUUCUACAUCAAAAUCUCCAUUGCACAUUUUUAAUUUAAUAAAAAAAACAAAAGGGAAAAUAAGGUAAAUCUUAAUGGAUUGAUGUAUCAAAAACUCUUCUUGAAUAAUAGGCUGGCUUGGUGGUGUGGUGGAAGAGUUAUGGAGUAAUUAAUGCAGUCUGAGUUCAAUUCUUACAUCUAGCAAAAACUAACAACCGACAUAAUACUCAUUCGAUAUUAUUUAUAAGAAAUAAUGAAUUUUUUGAUUUAUUGAAUAAUUAAUGUAUAUGAUAUAUAUUCUAGAUCGAAUACAUAAAUUAUUCAAUGAAUCUAAAAAAUUAAUUAUUUCUUAUAAAUAGGAUUGGAUGAAGUAAUAUUUAUUGCUUAAAAAAAUAAAACUCCUCAAUAUUUUGUUGUUAAAUCAGAGAUAUCCUCCACGUGCAAAUGUCUGUCACUUAUGUUAUGUCACACAAUGUUGGUAAAAGAGUCUAAGUAAAGAGAUCAUAGAAGUAUGAAAAGAAGCAAUUUUAAAUAGAAAAAGAUAGUAGAAUUUACAAUUUUAAAAAUCUAAUAAGACAGAAGUUCAAAUAUAAAGUAUAUAGAUGGGGAUGUCAAAUUUUAAAUAGCUUAUGGUACAAGAUUAAUUUAAAAAAUUUAAGUGAGCAUGUGCACCCAUCACGUAGAUCCAUACAUACCAAAUGACAAAGAUAAAGUCCAAAACAGUUGCCAAACGCCAAAUAUCACACUUAUUUGCAUUAUAUAUACUUCUUUUUUUACAAAACCAUUAGAUAUACUCCCUUUAAUAUACAUUGGAUAUAAGUUUUUAUAUAGUCAUUUUUUAUUCCAAUAGUACUAUUUUUUCCAUAUCAUUUUAUUACUUAAUCAAAUGUCCAAAUUAUUUUAAAUAGUUACUUAAAUAAUUUCAUAAUUUCUUUAUUUUAAUUAAGAAGAGACAACGAUGAAAUUUUUGUCUGUCAAGUAAGGAUAUAGUUUUGCAGUUAAUAAAAGAAUAUAAACACAAUUUUUUUCUUUUCAUAAAUUUCAUCAAAGAAGGUAAUCAAUCUUAUUCAGAAUCCGUCGAUCAGACACUAAAUGUGAUACCUCUCUCAAUCAAGAUUCUAAAAUCAUUCUCGUCCGUUAGAUCCAAUUACUUCCAUUGGUGUACACAUAAUUUAAAUAAGUUAUAUCAAUCAAUUAAUUAAAAUGCCUAUUUCUUGUAUGAAUUAAACAUAGUGAGAAAGGUCCUCGUGAACUAGCUCAAUUGAUAGAGACAUAUAAUAUAAUAUAUGCAGGGGUUGAAGUCCGAACCCUAAACAUCCGACUUCUCCAUAUUUAAAAUGUGUGAGCUCCCGUCACUGGGUUAAUUGACAAAAAGAAAAAUAGAGUGAGAAAGAGAAAUGAGUUAUUACCAUCAGCACUUGUAGCACUAAUCAACCUGAGAGCUAUAGAACGUCCCAAGAAGGAAGUGGCAGUAUCAAGUAUAUUGCCAGCAACAUCACCAACAAUACCAAAGGCACCACCAAUGAUACCAGUAGGGCUUUUAGCAGCAGUGAGGGCGUUGAUAUCCAAAGUAUUCUUUUGCAUCAACACCACAGUUCCCUUCAACUUUUGGCCUCUAUCAAAGAGACCUGUUACACCAGAAAACAUCUUUGAAUAUGCUUUAAAUGUAUUACACUAUAUAUGGUAAAUGAAAGAAAGGCUUGUGUCUUGUAACCAUAGGGGUGGUUAGUAUUUAUAGUAGUUGAUGAGAUUAGGAUCACAAUGUUAUAGUUCAAAUGAGGUGAUAUUUUUAUUCAACUACUCAUUUACAACAUGGUGGAAUGCAAUUGGUCACGUCUUAUGCUAAUUUUUUAUUAUGAGUGAUUAUCUCGUGGUAUAUAAAAUAAUAAUAUAUCCGAUUGCAAAAUUAUUUUGGUAGUUGUUAUAUGUGCCAGCCUUGGCAUUAUGUUCAAUAAUAAUGACUCUGUUUGCUCUAUUGUUAAUUAUUACUACUAUCUUACGUGUCUGCAUUGGUUUUCUCGAGUUUUCUCAUAUUUUUUAAAGUGGGAAAAUCUCUACCCUUAAAAUUCAUUUCUUUCUUAUUUUAAUUUCAAAAUCUCUCCUCUUUUUUUUUUUUUUUUUUUUUUCUUUUUCUUUUUCUUUCUCUCAUACUAUCAAAUCAAGAUUAGGAUUGGACUUGAGAUACAUUUGCUUAGUCACAAACAUAAAAAUGAGUCAUUUAACACACACAAUGUAAUAAAAAAAAUUGAUUUGGUGUUGUGGUCUAAUUUAACACUUACUAUAUAAGUAUUUCUCCAUCCAAAGAUGGAUCCAAAAAUCUAUUAGCAAUUUUAGUUCACGGCCUAAUUUAUUCUCUUGUUUGGGAGUCUUUUGUAACAAUUUUUGUUUUUUUAUUUUGGGUUGACGGCAAGACCUUUGUCUUUUGAUGUAACUAUACUCUUUUUCCUUGUUCUUUUGGCACUUUCUGUGCUGGAAUAGCAGAUAUUUUUCAAAUAUAAGCAAUCAACGUUUGUUCUAGGGCGCUCUAUAUAUGGAUAAUGUUAUCAGCCACGUUUUUGACAUUUGCAUCAAUUUUUUUCUUUAUAAAUGAUGAAUAAGACAUGUAUUACUAAUGAUGGUUGAUAUUCCAGCUAUCAUGGAAUCCAAGUCGCCAUAGUACAAUGUUUUUAAAAUCCCAGCUAUGUUGGCAACCCAAAACAUCGUGUGUCAAAUGCGCCACAUCUUAUAUAUUAUUAAUAAUAAAAAAUACAAAAACGAAAAAAGUUGAGUUAAACUCAACAAAGCUAAUUAAAAUGAUAGGUAUGCAUACCAAACCUAUCUAAAAAAACCACUGAUAAUAAAACUAGGACAUAUAUACCACCAUUGAAAAUCUCCAAUUAGUUUACAAAUAUCAACGAAAAAACUUCUCCUUUUCCUCUUGUGACAUAGAUGAUCUCCAGUAGGUUUCUGCGUUUUUCCUCUUCAGUUUCGUGUUUUGCUGCUUGCGUUGGGGGUGUGAAAAUUAAACACUGAUGACUUGUGAAAAAAAGAAGCAUAAAGGGCUGCUGGACUAAAGUCUGAUAAUUGUUGGUCCCUCUAUUAUUUUUGUUAUAUACACCCCUCUAUAAACGAUUAUUGUUAUAUACACCCUCGUAUAAAAAAAUUAGGUCCCUAAAGGCAUGGGCCCUAGGCUGCCGCACCCCAUCCUAUAUCUAUGGCUGGCCCUGAAUGUUAUCGUUGUAAUAGAAGUGGUUUAAUAUAUAAAAUGAAAGACAUAAGGUAAAUAGGGUAAUGUUGCAUUAAAAAUGGAUGUUGGUAAGGCAUGUGGCAUUGAUAGGUCAUUUGAAAGAAAUUUUGAUGAAGAUGAGGUUAUGUCAGUAGUGAAUGAACUAGAUAAUGAUGUGUAUUAAAAUGGUGGAUUAUUCCAUUAUUGUUAACAAUGAAAUCACAUGACCAAUCAUACUCGGACGAGGCCUUCAUCGGAGAGAUUCUUUGUCUCAUUGUUUAUUCUGUGUGCAGAAGGCCUAUGUGCUCUUAUUAAGUAUGUCGAGGCUAGUGGAGAGCUUCAUGGGGUCAAAAUUUGUCGAAACACUUUGAUUAUUACUCGAAUUUUAUUUGCAGAUGACUACUUUCUAUUUUUCAGGGAAGGUGAAGCGCCGAGACUCAAAAUAUGAAGCAAAUUUUGAGGUUGUACAGAGCAACGUCUGGAUAUUACAGCUUAAAUGCCCAACAAUCCCUUCAAAAUGCUUUUACAACAACCUUAGGGGGGUCAGGCGGUGUUAUGCACAAUGAAGUACAUCGGACUACCCUCUAUGAUUGGUAGAAGAAGGAAUGUUACGUUCAGCUUUCUCAAAGAUAUGACUGGAGCAACAAGUAUUUGUGAAAGGAAGAUAUAAUGAUAAAAACAUGUACUGCAAGCAAUACCAUCUUAUGGAAUUAGAAUUUUCUUACUUUCUACCAUGUUCUUUGAUGCCAACGAAAAGAUUAUUAACACGUACGUACUGGUGGGGUCAUGGUGGUUCCACAAUUAGAGGUAUUGACUGGUUAUCAAGGGACAUGCUUGUUGUCUACAAAUUUUUUGGAGGUUUGGGGUUUAAAUACUUGACGUCAUUCAACUAAGCAAUGUUAGGAAAACAAGAUCGGAAAUUCCACACACACUUGGACUGUUUGGUAUCAAGACUGUUCAAGGCGCUCUAUUUUCCUCAUGGAAGCUAUCUAGACCGAAAGUGAUGACAGAGCACUAUAUGACAUUUUGGGCUAUGUUUUUAGUACUUUUAUUUGCAUUUGAAGACAUAUAAGUUGAGAGAUAGAGGAGUUGUUAAUGGUUUGGGAAACAUAUUGUAUUGUUUUCAAUCGAGCCGUUGUUCUUGAUGCUUGACAGUUUAAGGAACCUCUAGGGUAUGUUUUUUAAACAUCGUUGUUCCUUGAUUGAGGAACCUCUAGAUAUUUCAUGAAGUGUAAUUCCUUUAGAUGACAAUUUAAGAGUCACACGGGAUGUUGCAGUCAAAAGAUGUGAUCAUGGCUUUCAUAAUUGAGUUAUGGAUAAAACGACAUCUGUAGGAAUAUUCUCUCUAUAGUAAACCACCGUUUAUGUAAUUUUUAGGUUUUAAUUAAUAGGUACUUUGCAUUAAUCCAACAAAGAGGGAAGAGGGAAGAGGGGAUUCAAGGAUUCCCUAAUCACCGUUAUACAUCUAAAUCACACAAACAUAAUCUUUCUUUGGAUAGGGAAAUUUAACCAUGCAAAUCUUUUUUUCAUCUCUUUUCUAUUUUCUUUCUAAUAAGUUUUGCUAAUUACCGAAAAACUUGCUACUUUAUUAAUUGUUAUGAUUUGGUGCACUUGCCAAUUUCGUCCUUCAGAAAGCUUGGACAUAAAUCAAAGCUUUAGUUGGAGAAGAAUAUUUACCGCUAAGAGAGUAGUACAAAAAGUUGCUCGGUGGAAGAUCAGAUCGGGUACAAAGUUUCAAUUUUUUAUGCUUUGUGGGUAAAAGAUGGGACAAGUAUUCUAGGAGAUGGUCAACCUCUCAAGGUAAUUCAACAGGCUAAAGUGCACAAUCUCGUUGAUCAAGAAUUUCCCGUAUAGAACAAUCAUAUUGUAAACCAGUGUUUUGAUCAACUUAUAAAUGAGCUCAUUCUGAGUACUCCUUUAAUUGAGUCUGUUAAAGAAAGAUAAAUUAAUUUUUAAAUCAAAGAAAAAUGAACAUUACUCGGUAAAAAUUGUGUACAAGAUUUAUACAUAAAAUAGUGCAGGCAACUCAUAUUUAUGUCAGUAAGGUCAUUGGCUGGAAUUUAGAAGUUAAAGGUGCAUCCCAAAGUGAAGGAUUUCAUUUGGCUGAUUUAUCAAGGUUGCUUACCGACGCGUGUAAGGCUGAAAGAUCGAAGUCUCCAUUGUCUGUCUAUUUGUAUGAUGUGCACCGGUAACUAUGGGGAUGCAAUGCAUAUAUUGUUUGAUUCUCCGUAAAUAGGAUAUGUAUAUAUUUUUCUCAAGUGCAUUAAUUUUAUCAUUCAUAGCUCCAGCCCAGUUUAUAUUUUUAAAUGUUUCUUCAAUAGAUGAUUUGAUUCUCACAUAAUCAACGGCAACAAUAAAACUUUGAUUGUGUGGAAAGUUGUUUAGUGGAGACAUAUUGAGAAAUAUGUAUGAUAUCUAUAUAUAGAGGGACAGAUCGAUAACAUUUGCAAUCAUCUACAACAGGCCAUGUUACCCAAGAACAAUCAUCAAUAAAAGAAACAAACCACCUUGCCCCAUAAAUAUUAGAAACAACAAGAAAUAUUAGAAACAGGGGCCGAUCGGCAGACAUCAAAAUGAAUAAGAUCAAAUGGUUCAACACUUUUACGAAGAUUCAACGAAAAAAGUGGUAUGUGUACGCUUAUAAAAUGGAUAUAUAUAUCACAUUUAAAAGACUAAAUCGAUUGCAUUAAAAAACAAAGAUGGAAACAUAAACUUCAUUAGUUGAAAAUGAGGAUGACAAAGACGUUUGUGCUGAAGCCAAAUUUGAGAGGCAGAAUAAGACUCUGACUAAGACUGAAGUGCAGAAGACAACACCUUCUGAUCAAUUCGUGCAUCAUACAAAUAAUAUAGCCCUCCUUGUUCCUAAGCAACUCCAAUCGUCUUUCCCAUUACAAGAUCCUCGAAAGCACAAUGUGAAUCAAAAAAUAUUACUGCACAAAUAUUAUCCUUUAUAAGCUUACGAACAUAGAUAAGGUUAUUCCAAAGACAAGGAACAUGAAGCAUAUCUUUCAACUUAAAAGGUUCAAGGUUAAUUUCUCCACAACCAUCUACACGAGUAUGAGAACCAUAUGCAGCCGCAAAAAAGAAUGUCAUAUGAAGAAAUUUACUUCAAAAAGGCCAAGAACCAAUGUCAUAUGAUCAAUAGCACUAUAGUCAAUAAUAUAAUCAACAUUUCAAGCAAAAACCACAUAUAACUAUUUUCAGUCACAUUGGCUGAUAACUACAAAAGAAUCUCCUCAAAAGAACAACAAAAAGAAGAGGCUUCAAAUAACAAAAAAUAGGCAACAAGGUAAAAACCGUAAGUCGCAACAACGUAAAAUCACCAAAUAAAAGUCAAACUGAAUCACAAAGGGUCCUCAAAGAUGCUGGUAGUCACAAACAAGCACAAAACAACCGCUAUCAAUCAGUUAGUGUCAAGAGUACCCACGUAAAAUAGUAUCUUGGUCUUGGAUCAAGAUUUUGACCCCUUAAACGAACCAAUUAUGUGAAGACUAUAAUUUCUAGGAAUAAAUGGUGUCGAAUGGUGGUUCACAAGGUGGCAUGUGCAUCGCACUUGAUGGAGCUUCACUUUAGAUUGGGCCUCUGCUCUCAACUUCUCAAGUUCUUCUUCAAAAAGUAUUUGAGAACAAAUUUUUAUAGCCCUUUCGUUUAAAAAAUCUUUUUAGUUUUGCCAUAUUAGUUGAUGUAUGAUUCUUUAACUGUAUUUACAUUGGAAAAACAAUUGGCAGUGGAAAUAAAAUCAUUAUGAUCUAUUAUUGCUUUUUCAAUGUUAUCAUUUUUUUGUCAUGCUAUAUUGCAUAUUUGCAUUGAGAGCUUUUUUGUCAUGAAAUAAAAUAUGAAGUUUGCAUUUUAUAUACAAAGUAAAUCACACAACAAAAUAGAAACAUAGUAACUUUUAUUGAUGAAAUACAUUAUAACAAUCAAACAUGAUAGUUUUUAUUGAUAAAACACAUUACAGAAUUAAAAACAAACGUACAUAAUAACAUAACAUGACGAUAUACAUAGGGGGCGAGGGAAUUGGAUUCCUCCUCCUCUUUUAUUAAUAGCGACAACGCAACAACCACGACGUUUUUUAGAUAGAGACACUGUUGGGAAUGCCUCUGCAAGUCAAUCCUUCCUCACUAGAAGGAUAAAGCAGAGUGUAAGGCAUCUUCACUGGUCCGUUACGAUUCCUCAGUGUCUCAUCAUUGUUCCUUUGAAUGAGUUUUUGCUCAAUUUCAGCCAACUUCUUUCCAAACCUCUUAAAGGACUCUUUUGGCUGUGAAUCAGAAGUCCAGAGAUCACCUUCAAUUCUCUCUCCAAGGUAUUGCUCAUCAGAAGCAUGCCUUGACAAGACUUCUAUAAUGGUCAAGUCAGUAAGAGUAUCAUUCUUGGGUGUUAUUGUCCUCAGAUAAGACUUCUGGUAGUCCUUAGCAAGCUCAUCAUACUCAGGGGAUCCCUGCUCAGGCAUGAAUCUUCUACUUUUAGUUGGUCGGUUAACGAUAUAUCCUCCAUACGGAUAUUGUCCAAAAUUAACUGCUGCAUGAA
Molecule: long non-coding RNA, 31643 nt
Filed under: Medicago truncatula (barrel medic)
Lineage: Eukaryota; Viridiplantae; Streptophyta; Magnoliopsida; Fabales; Fabaceae
Description: long non-coding RNA (MTRU_LNC005924)
Rfam family: MIR2619 microRNA precursor family (bases 4892-5057)
Source: RNAcentral